This is a long non-coding RNA of Balaenoptera musculus (blue whale), 4616 nucleotides long. RefSeq lists it as uncharacterized. The record is from RefSeq and is a predicted model, not a curated record. The transcript has 2 exons. NCBI's taxonomy places the organism in Eukaryota, Metazoa, Chordata, Mammalia, Artiodactyla, Balaenopteridae.
UUGAACCUGUGUCCCCUGCAUUGGCAGGCGGAUUCUCAACCACUGCGCCACCAGGGAAGCCCUAAUGUCUGCCUCUUAAUUCACAACUAUAAUGUCUGCCUCUUAAUAUAACAGAGUACUACUCUUCUCAGCAUAAGCUAUCGAGGAAGCUUAUAAUCAGAGGGUGCUGAAUGAGCAUGGAGUUGGGACAAGAGGAAGUAGUUACAUAAUUGGAAUUUUUAGUGCUCUCAGACUAGGGGAACCUGAUGCCUCCGUCUCUAUUAUUGAGAUGGCUGUGUCCAGGGGACAGUAAUACUCAAAAUAUGUGGACCAGGUCUCUCUCCUCCCUGGACAGUGUUCAGGUAGGCCUUCCUCUGUGACUACAUCACUUUGUUUCUAUUGCUGACAUCUCCCUUCCUGAGUGACCUACUCUUUGAGCUCAUUAAUAUCUUCAGUAAAGCCUUAUUCUGGUCUAAGAGUCAUCUUCCCCUCUUUAGGGGAAUUUUUUAUGUCUUUGUUCUGAUUCAUAUCUAUUAUUUCUUAUUUUCAGAUUGUUAGAGAAUAUCUCAUUUUUGCCUUAAUAUUUUAAUAACAAUAAAAAUAAUAGCUAACUUUUUGGAUGCUUACUGUGUGCCUGACCCCAUUCUAAGUGCUUAUAUAUACUAACUCAUUUAUCCCCAUAACAACACUUUGAAGUAGGAGUUAUUAUUAUCAUCAUUUCAUAGAUGAACAGUAAGUACCUUCAGUAUUUUCCCCCUUAGGGUUCCAGUCCCUUCCUCUAGCUCUGUUUUCUUCCUGAGGCUGUAUGUUGUUUUGCACUGUGUUCGGAAUGCUAUGAUUCAUUCUGAAUGGCUAACAAAGAUAUUUAUAAUGUUAAAAUCUUUACGUGCAUUCUUUGCAUCUGAUUUCUACCUCAUCUUACAGAUGAGGAAGUGGACCCAAGAGGAUUAAACGACCAAAUUAAAUGUCCGAAUCAGGCAGAACAAUGGAAUGAACCCAAAUCUUUCUGACCCUACUGUUUCUACUGUGCUAUGUUUCUACUCUGCUAGUAAGGUGGAGAUUCAUAGGAAGAGACCAAUAUUCUUUCCAAGUUACUGCAUGACUGUCAGAUGAAAGCAGGCCCAAGUAUAUUUUCUUCAUGAACUAGAUCAGAAUGACACAUAAAAGGAUUUUUGCAAAAUAGAGACAAAAUGAACACUUGUUUCUAGUGCUUUGCAAUUGCGGGAUCUUAGUUCCCCCACCAGGGGUUGAACCUGGACCAGGGCAGUGAAAGCGCUGAGUCCUAACCACUGGACCGCCGGGGAAUUCCCACAAAGUUAGGGUUUUAGAAGGAGCAAAAACGAGUAGUAGAUUAUUUCCCAUAACUUUCAGGAUCAAGGUCACACUCUUGGGUUGGAACACGGGCUCUUCCACAUCAUGCCUGCCUAUCAGUAGCCUCAUCUCCUGACACUCUCAUCAGUCAUUUGAACAAGCUCUCAAUUAUCUCGCACUCUGCCUGUGCCCAUACUGUUCCCUUUGCUUGGAUGCCCUUUUCCUUACCUCAUGUGCCAGUUGCUGCUUGUACCUCAAAACUCAGCUCACACAUCACUUCUCUGAUUUAGAUACCUCUUCUCUGUGUUCCUUGAAUAGCGUAGUCAAUAGAAGAAGGCCUGGAGUUUGAAUUCUAGCUCUGCUACUUGCUAACAUGUAUGAUCUUGGCCACUUAACCCUUUCUAAGCCUUUGAUGUUCCCAUCUAUAAAAUUGGAAGAAUAACAUUACUCUCCCACAGGGUUAUCAUAGGAUUGAAUGAAAUAAUAUAAUCAAACAGUUUGCCUGGAACAAGGUAAAAAUUCAGUAAAUGGCAGCAGCUGUUAUUCUCAUGGCUUCUCUCAAACUGUCAGUCAUAUUUGUUAUAAUCACUGAUUUAUUUGGAGGUAUUUGAAAGAUUAUUGCAUAUAUUAAAUACAUGAAAUAUCUAAAACCUUCUAGUAAGUGGUUAAGUAUCAAACAUGCUAUUUCAGGAUUUUGUGUAAUUUUCAGGAAAUCAUUAGAAAAAAUAGGGUACACAGUUCCCUGGCUUUGAUUUAGGUAUGAAUCUUAAGGAGAGCCCUGGAUUUCAUUACUUUGGGAGACCAUUUAGCGCUCUGGUACCAAAACAUUUCUCAUUGCACCGAGAUUUCUUCUGGUCACUCUGCCUUUUUUUCCCUCAGAUCACGGAGCUGAAGGCUGAUUUUCAAUACCAAGAAUCUCAGAUGAGAGCCAAAAUGAACCAGAUGGAGAAAACCCACAAAGAAGUUACAGAACAAUUGCAGGCCAAAAACCGAGAGCUCCUGAAGCAGGCAGCUGCCUUGUCCAAGAGCAAGAAGUCAGAGAAGUCAGGAGCUAUAACCUCUCCAUGAGAGACCACAAGGACGCUCCUGGCAAUAGCAAUGGAUUCCUGGGUUAGGGUGGCAACGUAGCUGUUCUCUGGGAAUUGCAAGCUUUCUUAAGAAAUCUGUUUUACUAUAGUUAUCCUUCUUUGUGCGAUUGCAGUGGGACUGAGUGGAAACACCUGGUUUGUGCUGUAUUAUGACUGCAUGCUUGAAUGUUGGGGUUUCAGGCUCUCUCUCUCUCUCUCUCUCUCUCUCUCUCUCUCUCUCUCUCUCUCUCUCUCUCUCUCUCUCUCUCUCUCUCUCUCUCACUCUCUCACUCUCUCACACUCCCCUCUCUACCCCCAACCCUUCUCUCAGUACUACUGUCUCUCUGUCUGUCUCUCUUUUGUUACUUUUUUUUCUGUGUGUGGUGGUCACUGCUCAGUAUUAUGUGCAGAAUGUUUUUUUUUUUUUUUUUGGUCCAUCAUUGCAUCCUGCCAUACCCAUGAGCAAAUAGUUGGCAUUAAUUACGUAUCACUGCCACCCUCUGAACUUUGAAAACUGCCACCUUAAGACUUGGUACAGUGGAAGAGAAUUUUUCUCUCCAAUAAACCUUUUGCUUCAGGGUAUACUCUUGGGUUUUUUUCCAGGUAUAUUAUGUAUGAACUUUGUACUAUGUAUAGCCAGAGUUUUAUUUAUUUUUUAAAAAAAGAAACUUUUUCUUGAUAAAGGAGUAAUGGUAGCCUAGCUUGUUCUUCUUGUAAAAGUGAUGCCUCUUAAAAAAAAGUCCUACUCUCUAGCGUUUAGUAAAAGAAUCAGAUCUUUUCUUUCUUGUUACCUUGGAGUCUUAAAAACUGAUUGCUAGGGUGAAACAAUUCAAUAUGUAAGUAUGGAGUUAAGUGCCUUUUGGAGGAUUUCUUGGAAGACCAUGUAAGAAGAUACUUAAGGGAGGUAGCAAAGAUUUGGACAGUCUGUCUUUCUAAGUAAAGGCAGAAAGAAGGGUUGUCCAGGUUGUACUGGACACUUCUCUCCCCCACCCCUUUCUUGAUUGUUUUACGUGACUGAUUUUAAAUUCUCACACUGCCACCUCUUUUUAACAAAAUGCCCUUUACUUAUAUCAGUUGUCAUACUGGGCCAUUUUCAGGUAACUUUUUUUUUACAUGAUUCAAAAUGGGAUAAUAUUCAGACUACAGAGCAUUUUGGAGGUUAGUAUGAGCUGCUUCAGUACGGACUGUAAGUCCUGCUGGGAGAAUGAUAUCACUGUACCUUUUCCCCACUCGUCGUCACCCACCCCAGCCUGUACACUCCCUGCCUUUCAUGGAAAUGUGUUGAAAACAGGUGCUUCUCAGAAGCAGCUUGGCCGCAGCCUGAACUGUGUCCUGUUUUCCCUUCUUGACCCAGUAGGCACAUGGAUUCUCUUUUCCAGGUGAGAGGAUAGAUUUGCUUUUCUAGCCAUACUCUCAGGUCCUCUAGAUGAUGUUUGUGAAAGGAACUAGAGAUGUGUAGUGUGCCAUGAAACAGUAAAACCAGCUACCUUGGAAUCAUUAAUGUAGGGGGUGGUACUAGAGUUAGAGGUAAUCAUAAGGGCAGAUGACAUUUGUACCUCAGUCUACCAAAAGUGUAGCAGUAAGUUUAACUUGCUAGGCAUUUCCUAGGAGCAAAUGCUUCUAAUUUGUGAGCAUUCUCACAAGUGGAGCCAUGCACAUAAUUGGACAGAGAUGUGGAAAUGAGUGGCUUCCUUCUGGUAAGAGAAACAAUGGACCAUGUUACUUAUCUAUCACUCUAGUAGAGGAUGUAAUUUUCCCUUCUAAGCAAGGGAAAUGGCAGUGCUAAAUAGUUUUGUAACUUUUUGAAUGAGAAACUUUUAGGUAAAAAACUGUCAGAUAAUAUUUUCAGAUGCAUUUACAUUGACUAUGGGGAAAAGAUUGUGAAAAAAGUUACAGUCAUUUUUUUUUUAAUUUUAAAGACUUGAGAAAUUCUGUUACAUGAAGUGACAAUGUAAAAACACAUUUAGUUUUAUACUAAAUCUUUUUUUAAGGUCUUGGCAUUUAAUAUAAAGCAAAUCCACACAUUUUCUAACUUUCCACAAGUUCCAAAAAGGGAAGGAAGAAACCUCAGUCUUGAAAUUUUGGUUUUUAAAAAUCAUGACACUGUUUUACCAUGAAAUUGAGUAGCUAACUUUUGGUAACACCUUUUGUUUAUUUGUAUGUUUGUAAUAAUGGACCUUUUAAAACACAGGAAUGUUUUGGUUUGUACAGACUUUGAAAAAUGUGUGUUAAUAAAAAUUCAUAUUGACUUAAGUAUAA